Long non-coding RNA from Gallus gallus (chicken), 1001 nucleotides. Lineage: Eukaryota; Metazoa; Chordata; Aves; Galliformes; Phasianidae. The record is from Ensembl.
GGAGAAUGUGCCCUACGAGGAGUGACUGAAGGAACUGUGGAUGUGUUCGGUCUGAGGAAAAGGAGGCUGAAGGGGGACCUCACUGCUCUCUUCAAAUAUCUGAAAGAAUGCCCAUUUCUGCUUUAAGUCUGGUGGUAUCCUUCUUUUUCUGGAAUUUAGAGGAAGCUAACCACCAAAUAAGAUUGGUAAUGUGACGAGUAACAAGAGAAAAGGAUUCAUGGAGAGAGACAAAAUCUGAAGACUUUCUUAAAGCAAUUGAAAUAUGAAAUAACUACGCUGUGAUCUGGAAAUAAAUUAAGAGAUUCAGAGUGAAAUUCAGCAACAUAGGACCAAAACACAUUGCUGUCAUCCUAAAAUGAUUGUCGCAAGGAAUGAAAAAAACUGUAUCAUCUAUUUGUCAGUAGCUGUGAAAGGUCAUUAGUCAUACACUGGAGCUUGAAAGAGUAUUCCAUAUAUGCCUCAGUCUCCCCACAAGCCUAAGUAGAACAGUUUUGGACGGCUACAUAAUCAGUGAGUUUGACGUAUAAUGGAUCUCAGAGUAGGCUUAUGAAAUAUGCAAAAAAGUAUGAUGCAACUCCUUAAUGUACCCAUUUUUGAGAUUGAAUGAGUUUUAAUUAAAAUAUACAUGGAGUUAGUAACGGGGGAAUAUCUACAGAAGUGGAGACUAGAUUGUUUCAUUUAAGUUUGCAAAAUAAAAGCGAAAUGGUCUGUGUAGACAGGCUACCUGAUGUACUUCUCCUUACACCAGGGAAGAAAAGAAUCACUGGAGUUACAUAAGAAUUAUGCAAACAGCGGAAAAAAAUUAAAGCCAGAAGGUGCUCUGAAUAACUCAACACUGGAAAUUAGAAGAAGGCUCCUUAUCAUUAAAGCAGCAAAAGCAAAGAACAGCCCUCCAGUCAGGCAAAUAAAGUUACCCUUAAUUAGUUUCAAGACAAAGUGAUCAAGAUAAAAGGAGUUAUAAAACCUCAUUGCUCGCAAUAGCCCAGAUCCAGUCCUCUGCU